RNAcentral lists this unclassified non-coding RNA (408 nucleotides) under Hevea brasiliensis (rubber tree). The record is from RNAcentral. Lineage: Eukaryota; Viridiplantae; Streptophyta; Magnoliopsida; Malpighiales; Euphorbiaceae.
GUUUUUUUCCACAAGUAGUAAUAAUUAUAUUUCAAGACUUUUACUAUACUAUCUAUCAAUGGCUAGCCAACAACCACCUCGUCCAUUGUUCCGUUUUGCUUCCAUGGUUCGUCCGGCUGCACAACCUCCUCCAGCUUCUGCUCCACCAGCACCAUCCCCACAACCGAUGUUUCGACCUACCACCCCAUUUAGGCCUGCCUCACCAGCAGUUACUGCUCCACAGCCCCCUCAACCUCCAGUACCUACUGCUGCUACUCCUGUUGCAGUAGUUACUGCACCACCGCAACCACAAGCGCCAGCCCCAGGUAGCCCCAUUUCACCACAGAGGCGUCAACCUGCUGAGGUAACUUCACCACCAAGAUCACCUGUAGCUCCUCCUCCUCAAUCUGUUGUUUCGCCACCAAAGGC